UAGGGAAUCUUCCGCAAUGGGCGAAAGCCUGACGGAGCAACGCCGCGUGAGUGAUGAAGGUCUUCGGAUCGUAAAACUCUGUUAUCAGGGAAGAACAAAUGUGUAAGUAACUAUGCACGUCUUGACGGUACCUAAUCAGAAAGCCACGUCUAACUACGUGCCAGCAGCCGCGGUAAUACGUAGGUGGAAAGCGUUAUCCGGAAUUAUUGGGGGUAAAGCGCGCGUAGGCGGUUUUUUAAGUCUGAUGUGAAAGCCCACGGCUCAACCGUAGAGGGUCAUUGGAAACGGGAAAACUAGAGUGCAGAAGAGGAAAGGGGAAUUCCAUGUGUAGCGGUGAAAUGCGCAGAGAUAUGGAGGAACACCAGUGGCGAAGGCGACUUUCUGGUCUGUAACUGACGCUGAUGUGCGAAAGCGUGGGGAUCAAACAGG
Molecule: ribosomal RNA, 429 nt
Filed under: Actinomycetes bacterium
Lineage: Bacteria; Bacillati; Actinomycetota; Actinomycetes
Description: Actinobacteria bacterium partial 16S ribosomal RNA
Rfam family: Bacterial small subunit ribosomal RNA
Source: RNAcentral